UUUCACACCAAACCCAAAACCCGGUUUUCGGCAAAAAGUUUUCGAAAACACGAAAAUCGUUCACACCGAACAUUUACACGUUUUCAUUUGACGUUUAAAUUUUAAAUGAAUUCUGAAAAAUUGAAAUUAUUUUUAAUAUAUAAAAAGAAAGAUGAACAAAAUAUGAAGAUUUGGACAAAGGUACGCACCAGCACUUUUUGGAAACAUGAAAUGUUAGAAAACGAUGAUGAGUAUUUCAAACAAUAUUUCAGAAUGAGCCGCAGAACUUUCAAUAUACUCUGCAAUGAACUAAAGGAUCUGGAAAUGCAAGAUUCAAACUUUAGGAAGUGUAUACCAUUACAAAAAAGAAUAGCCAUUGCAAUAUAUACACUGGGAUCAUCCGCUGAAUACAGGACAGUUUCAGCUAUCUUUGGGUACCACAGCUUCCGAGGAAGAAAAGAACUUCAACUACGCACUUUCGAAAUGUCGAAGAGUUGUUGAAAACUGUUUCGGACACCUUAAAUCAAGAUUUAGGACAAUCGGAAAGGGACUUGAUAAAAUCAACAUCCAAUGCUUGCAAAAUGCAAACAAUAAUUCGCAUAGAGAGCAACCGGAACAAUCAACACAGGUAGAUGAUGCAAGAAAUACACCUUCCAUUAUCCGAAAUGCCAUCAAAAUGCAAUUAGCCCGGAGCCUUGACGGAGUAGCCCGCGAUGAACUAGAUGCAGACUCGGCCGACGGAGUUUCUACAUUUUCUUCGUACUGGGAUGAGGUUGCCCCGCAGCUCAGACUCCUUUUCACCCCAGAGUUCGAGCAGGUACUCCUCAUCCUGGCUCCCCCACAGUUUCCUUUUUUUAUUUUUUUUUUCUUCCAUAUUCUGUAAAUAAAAAAACAAAAAGCAAUAAUUCUUAUUUUGUAAAGAUAAAUUGUAUAAAUAAUAUUACUUACCACGGCCAAAUUGUUUUGA
Long non-coding RNA from Eupeodes corollae, 946 nucleotides. RefSeq lists it as uncharacterized. Lineage: Eukaryota; Metazoa; Arthropoda; Insecta; Diptera; Syrphidae. The transcript has 4 exons. The record is from RefSeq and is a predicted model, not a curated record.